RNAcentral lists this ribosomal RNA (484 nucleotides) under uncultured bacterium. RNAcentral describes it as "partial 16S ribosomal RNA". It matches the Rfam family "Bacterial small subunit ribosomal RNA", at positions 30 to 507 of the family's 1533-position model. The record is from RNAcentral.
AUUGAACGCUGGCGGCAGGCCUAACACAUGCAAGUCGAGCGGAUGAAGGGAGCUUUCUCCUGGAUUUAGAGGCGGACGGGUGAGUAAUGCCUAGGAAUAUGCCUGGCAGUGGGGGAUAACGUCCGGAAACGGGCGCUAAUACUGCAUACGUCCUGCGGGUGCAAGAGGGGGGUCUUUGGAACUCAUGCUAUCAGAUGAGCCUAGGUCGGAUUAGUUAGCUGGUGGGGUAAAGGCUUACCAAGGCGACGAUUCGUAACUGGUCUGAGAGGAUGAUCAGUCACACUGGAACGUGGACAGGAUCCAGGCGACUACGAGAGGCAGCAGUGGGGAAUAGUGGGCAGUGGUCGAAAGCCUUGUCCAGCCAGGCCACGUGUGAUGAGGAGGUCUUCGGAGUGUAAAGCACGUUAAGGUGGGAGGAAGGGCAUUAAGUUAAUACCUUGCUGUUUUGACGGUACCGGCAAAAGAAGCACCGGCUAACUUCGUG